This 329-nucleotide ribosomal RNA is filed under the name uncultured bacterium. RNAcentral describes it as "bacterial SSU rRNA". It matches the Rfam family "Bacterial small subunit ribosomal RNA", at positions 483 to 811 of the family's 1533-position model. The record is from RNAcentral.
GGAAUAAGCCUCGGCUAACUACGUGCCAGCAGCCGCGGUAAUACGUAGGAGGCGAGCGUUAUCCGGAUUUACUGGGCGUAAAGGGCGUGUAGGCGGCUUUUUAAGUUGGGUGUGAAAUCUUCCGGCUCAACUGGGAUUCGCCUGUCAAUACUGGAGAGCUUGAGGGCACCAGAGGAAAGUGGAACUCCCGGUGUAGCGGUGAAAUGUGUAAAUAUCGCGAGGAACACCAGUGGCGAAGGCGGCUUUCUGGGGUGUUCCUGACGCUGAGGCGCGAAAGCGUGGGGAGCGAACCGGAUUAAAUACCCGGGUAGUCCACGCCCUAAACGGUG